CCUACGGGCGGCAGCAGUGAGGAAUAUUGGUCAAUGGGCGCGAGCCUGAACCAGCCAAGUCGCGUGAAGGAUGACUGCCCUACGGGUUGUAAACUUCUUUUAUAAAGGAAUAAAGUCAGGCACGUGUGCCUUUUUGUAUGUACUUUAUGAAUAAGGAUCGGCUAACUCCGUGCCAGCAGCCGCGGUAAUACGGAGGAUCCGAGCGUUAUCCGGAUUUAUUGGGUUUAAAGGGUGCGUAGGUGGGUUGUUAAGUCAGUUGUGAAAGUUUGGGGCUCAACCGUAGAAUUGCAUUUGAUACUGGCAGUCUUGAGUAGAGUAGAGGUAGGCGGAAUGCGUGGUGUAGCGGUGAAAUGCUUAGAUAUCACGAAGAACUCCGAUUGCGAAGGCAGCAUACUAAACUGCCACUGACGUUGAGGCACGAAAGUGUGGGUAUCAAACAGGAUUAGAUACCCUAGUAGUC
Molecule: ribosomal RNA, 460 nt
Filed under: uncultured bacterium
Lineage: Bacteria
Description: partial 16S ribosomal RNA
Rfam family: Bacterial small subunit ribosomal RNA
Source: RNAcentral